RNAcentral lists this ribosomal RNA (253 nucleotides) under uncultured bacterium. RNAcentral's name for it is "partial 16S ribosomal RNA". It matches the Rfam family "Bacterial small subunit ribosomal RNA", at positions 524 to 776 of the family's 1533-position model. The record is from RNAcentral.
UACGAAGGGGGCUAGCGUUGCUCGGAAUGACUGGGCGUAAAGAGCGUGUAGGCGGCCAUACAGGUCCGUUGUGAAAACUCGAGGCUCGACCUCGAGACGUCGAUGGAAACCGUAUGGCUAGAGUCCGGAAGAGGAGAGUGGAAUUCCUGGUGUAGCGGUGAAAUGCGUAGAUAUCGAGAGGAACACCUGCGGCGAAGGCGGGUUGCUGGGCCGACACUGACGCUGAUGCGCGAAAGCCAGGGGAGCGAACGGG